RNAcentral lists this ribosomal RNA (253 nucleotides) under uncultured bacterium. Its description in RNAcentral is "partial 16S ribosomal RNA". It matches the Rfam family "Bacterial small subunit ribosomal RNA", at positions 524 to 776 of the family's 1533-position model. The record is from RNAcentral.
UACGAAGGGUGCAAACGUUGCUCGGAAUUAUUGGGCGUAAAGCGCACGUAGGCGGCUUUUUAAGUCAGGGGUGAAAUCCUGGAGCUCAACUCCAGAACUGCCUUUGAUACUGAGAAGCUUGAGUCCGGGAGAGGUGAGUGGAACUGCGAGUGUAGAGGUGAAAUUCGUAGAUAUUCGCAAGAACACCAGUGGCGAAGGCGGCUCACUGGCCCGGUACUGACGCUGAGGUGCGAAAGCGUGGGGAGCAAACAGG